RNAcentral lists this ribosomal RNA (428 nucleotides) under uncultured bacterium. RNAcentral describes it as "bacterial SSU rRNA". It matches the Rfam family "Bacterial small subunit ribosomal RNA", at positions 355 to 774 of the family's 1533-position model. The record is from RNAcentral.
UGGGGAAUUUUGCGCAAUGGGGGAAACCCUGACGCAGCAACGCCGCGUGAGUGAUGAAGGCCUUCGGGUCGCAAAGCUCUGUCAGAGGGGAAGAAAUGCAGGGGUGCUAAUAUCAUCUUUGCUUGACGGUACCCUCAAAGGAAGCACCGGCUAACUCCGUGCCAGCAGCCGCGGUAAUACGGAGGGUGCGAGCGUUGUUCGGAAUUAUCGGGCGUAAAGCGCGUGUAGGCGGUUUGGUAAGUCUGAUGUGAAAGCCCCGGGCUCAACCUGGGAAGUGCAUUGGAGACUGUCAGACUUGAAUACGGGAGAGGGUAGUGGAAUUCCUAGUGUAGGAGUGGAAUCCGUAGAUAUUAGGAGGGACACCGGUGGCGAGGGCGGCUACCUGGACCGAUAUUGACGCUGGGACGCGAAAGCGUGGGGAGCAAACA